RNAcentral lists this ribosomal RNA (253 nucleotides) under uncultured bacterium. RNAcentral describes it as "partial 16S ribosomal RNA". It matches the Rfam family "Bacterial small subunit ribosomal RNA", at positions 524 to 776 of the family's 1533-position model. The record is from RNAcentral.
GACGAACCGAGCGAACGUUGUUCGGAAUCACUGGGCUUAAAGGGCGCGUAGGCGGGCUGUCAAGUCUGGGGUGAAAUCCCGCGGCUCAACCGUGGAACUGCCUCAGAUACUGACGGUCUCGAGGGAGGUAGGGGCGAGCGGAACUGAUGGUGGAGCGGUGAAAUGCGUUGAUAUCAUCAGGAACGCCGGUGGCGAAGGCGGCUCGCUGGACCUCUUCUGACGCUGAGGCGCGAAAGCCAGGGGAGCAAACGGG